GGGUAGAGGGGGCAGAGCGCAGACACGCAGUGGAAUCACUCGAUGGCCGGCAAUGUGCGCCGCGUCAUCGCUCUGAGUGUUUCGCUGUUGCAUGUCCAAGUGUUAACGCCACUUUUCAUUAAUAUUAUUCUUUCAUUCAUCGACCCGUGCGUCUCGAGCACGUACAGAACUCUAACAGGAAGAACUCUCAGCGUUCCUCUCGAAGGACACACAAUCAAUCCACCUAUCAAGAGACCUACUUUUCAAAUCAUUCGCAUAGAUCCGCGUUUUCUACUUUUCUUGUCCACGUGUUUCACUUACGAAAUUAAAGAACCUAUGUUUGUCCAAUGAAACACAUACAGCCAGCUCUUAUUCUUUCUCCGAAACUCUUCAUUCAGCUAACGAUUCCACUACUAUCCUCUAUCCUAAUAGACCGCUUUGCAGAACAGAAACUGGGACACCAUCGUUGACAAUAGACGCGAUUAUAUUGAAAUCCCCUGCUUGCCCAUUUCAACCAACCCUUAAAUCCCGAUCCUCUAUCAUCCUGAUCAUGACAAUCGACCAAUUGGUUUGAAUUACUUCCCUUUCGACCGAGGACCAUGUAAAAGGGAGUCCGAUGUGUGGUCGAGUUGUUGGACACAGAUACAUUUCGAUGAGUGAAAUCGGUACUGUUCUUCGAGUGUCGUGAGUGUGGAAAGCGAGAGGGUGGCGGUGGACCGACCUUGGUGUCUUUAUCCACCGAGCUGAGAAGAAGAAAAAGUAGGAGCAGAGGAGGAAGACAGGCAGGAGAGAAAGAGGAGCAGAAGAGAAGGAAGAAAAGUUAUUCGUUGAAGAUGGAAAGCCGCGUGGAGGAGACGAACGUACCGUCAACGGUGACCACGACGCGGGCGAUCGGGACACCCUCCCCAAUACCAACGGCGGCCAUCAACGCGGUCCCUACCGCCGGUGCGUUGACUUCCCUUGCUUCCGUCACCUCUUGCUCCAUCCAGAAUCCCGUGGUCGUGGUCACGAGCCCUCCGACCAAGCACCAACAAUCCGCUCCCGGGUUGUCCACUGUACCCGCCAUCCCACCCGUGUCAGCUGUCAACGCUGUCAACGCGAGUCUGCCGAAGAUACUCAGCAGGAACGUCAACGGCACGCUGGUGCAGACGUCCGUACCUCAGAACGAAGCAGAAUUGCAGUUGUACAGGGUGAUGCAACGAGCGUCCCUUUUGGGCUACUACGACACUCUUUUAGAAAUGGGUGGCGACGAUGUACAACAAUUGUGCGACGCCGGGGAAGAGGAAUUCUUAGAAAUUAUGGCCUUAGUCGGUAUGGCGAGCAAACCUCUUCACGUCAGGAGACUGCAGAAAGCUCUACAAGAAUGGCUGACGAAUCCUUCCCUUUUCCAAACGCCAGUGGUACCGACGAAUGCUACCUGCAAGAAUCCAUCGACCAUCGGAUUCGCCUGCGCGAGUCCCAGGCCGCAAGUACAAAAUCUUCAAGGUUUCGCAACGACUUCGCAGACGCAAACGCCAACGCCCUACGUUUCGUCACACGUGUCCCUCACACCACUGCCCUGCAGGAGUACUAGUCCCAUAGUGUCAGUGACGAGCGUGACGGCACCCGUCGCUUCGACCACCUUUCGACAGAGUCCCAGUCCCAACACACCCCUGCCCUAUGCAACCGCGCAUAGUCCCGGUAUACUACAGGUAGGAACUUGCGAAUCGUCGUGCGGUAGUGGCACAACCCCUAGUCCCGGAGGUGGCGGUGGUGCACCUGCGAGUCCUACGCAACCAACUCCGACACUUCUUCAGUCGCAAAUACAGAGAUUAGCAGAGGCAGCGGAAAGACUGGCCGCUACCAUUCGACCAGUCGAUCCAAAGCCACAUAACGUUAAAAAGAAGAUCUGCAAAAAUCUAGAGAUGGUAAUGGCUAUGCCUGACAGCGACCCACGCCGAAUGGAAGAAAUCCGAAAAUACGCGGCGAUUUAUGGGAGAUUCGACUGCAAGAGGAAACCAGAGAAACCACUGACAUUGCACGAAGUGUCGGUAAACGAAGCCGCCGCACAAAUUUGUAGGUUCGUACCUGCCCUUCUUACUAGAAGGGACGAACUUUUUCCUUUGGCCCGGCGGGUUGUCAGAGAUUCUGGGUAUCAUUAUUCAAAAAAUCAUUAUCUGUCCGUAUCGAGACCGCGUGAGAAUGGCGACGAAAGCGAAAACGAGCGUACAAAGAGACAAAAGCUCGAACUCGAGGGUGAGAAUGAAGAUGGGACGCAGGUUAGCGCACCUCGACCAUAAAAAUAACCAGUAUGCAGAAGAUUCCAGUUGAAAAUAGUUGCAAACGUGAUUAGGAUUGAGGAUUUCAUCCCAUGCAGAUUAUAUCUUAUCGUGCAUCCUAUACCUUCAAUCUGGAAUCAUUGGCAUAUUAAUGAAACCACUGUACACGCAUGAGCGCUAACCACUAACUAUGCAUCCAGCACAUAAAUAAUUGCAACACCUAAAACCUACCGUUUGGUUGAUACACACGUGAACGACAACUGGAAAAGGUCAAGUAUAUAGCUUCUGCAUAACAUGCAUGGCUUUUUAACACUGAUUGUAUGCUACUACUGUUUCAUUUUCAGAAAAGAAAAAUAAUUUACUAAUGCGUAAUGAUAAUAAAAAUAUUUGGGUCCUUAAGGUACGUUUGAAUAAAUCGAUCUAUUUUUUUAUUAUUCUAUGCAUAUUUUGUGUGAAAGAAAUAAAUUUAUUUUUCCCUUAUGAAUUAUUUACUAUAGUUAAUCGAAUACAUUUUUAUAAGUGAUAAGUGAAGUGAUAUGUAACUUUCUCUUUACAAAAAUAUGUAUUCUACUGGAACAAAAUAUGAUAUUUUUAUUAGUAGCAUCUUACUUUUUAUUUGGGACACGUGUAAAACUUAUAGUGUGGUAGAGCUUAUUUGUUUUAUCAAUUGCUUUUCCUUUGUAUUAAAGUAAUUCAAAUUUUAUAUUCUAAAUUCAUCUUAUCUUGAAUCGUCUCAGGUAAUUGUAAAGAAAGAUAUGAGAGACAAUGCAGUAUACAAAUUUCUGGAGAAUGCAAAUUUUGUAUUUUGAAGUAUUGUCUUGAUGAAAUUUAAUGUUUUAUGAGAUGUUUAUGUAUAUCAAUCGUUCUUUCUAUCAAAUUAUUCCUUAAUAUUAUUGAGAUUAAUUAUCCUCAAUAUAUAAAUUAAUUAAAAUAUAGAUCAAUUUACUCAAAUAUAUCCUAUUACUUAAAUAUUUUUGUUACUCACUUGUACAAAGUGCAUCUAACAACUUAGACAAGCUAUAACACUAUUCCUGAUGAAAAUAGUUUUUCAUAAAUGCAUUGGUACAGUUGAAAAGUACAAUUAAACUUUUUUGUAACUUCACCAGGAACAGUGAUAUAGGCUGUUCCCACUUACUAGAUACACUUUAUACAUAGAAUUGAAUUUUUAAUUUUGAAAUGGUUUACUUAUGUUUCAAAAUAUGUAGUAAUUUAGAACUGCCAUUCUUUGCAGCUAUAUAGUAAACGCAAGUAUUUGCAGAUUCACUCAUUUUCUUUUCACAAAUAUUAGGUAUUAGAAGAAAUUUGUGGUUUUCUAUCUAUUUUAUAUUUACAGUAAAUUUUAUUAAACAAUUACAGUACAUUUACAUUUUAUUAAACAAAACAAUAUUACAGUCAAUGUAAAUUUUAUUUUAUUUUAUUGCUAUAUGUUAUUUUUUUUUAUUUU
Molecule: non-coding RNA, 3681 nt
Organism: Nomia melanderi (Alkali bee)
Lineage: Eukaryota; Metazoa; Arthropoda; Insecta; Hymenoptera; Halictidae
Source: RefSeq, a predicted model, not a curated record